UAGCUCAGUUGGGAGAGCGCCAGACUGAAGAUCUGGAGGUCCUCAGUUCGAUCCUGG
Molecule: transfer RNA, 57 nt
Filed under: Perkinsus olseni
Lineage: Eukaryota; Perkinsozoa; Perkinsida; Perkinsidae
Description: tRNA-Phe
Rfam family: tRNA
About the family: Transfer RNA (tRNA) molecules are approximately 80 nucleotides in length. Their secondary structure includes four short double-helical elements and three loops (D, anti-codon, and T loops).
Source: RNAcentral